GGUAAUUCCAGCUCCAAUAGCGUAUAUUAAAGUUGUUGCGGUUAAAAAGCUCGUAGUUGGAUCUCGGCGGGCAGGGGGCGGUCCGUUAUUUGACGCGACUGCCCCAUUUGCCCGUGUUUCUUCGGCAGAACUCCCGGGGUGCUCUUCGCCGAGUGUCCCGUUGGGGGCCGCCAGGUUUACUUUGAAAAAAUUAGAGUGCUCCAAGCAGGCUCGACACGCCUGAAUAUUCGUGCAUGGAAUAAUGGAAUAGGACGUCGUUCCUAUUUUGUUGGUUUUCGGGAAUCGACGUAAUGAUUAAUAGGGACAGCCGGGGGCAUUAGUAUUCAGACGACAGAGGUGAAAUUCUUGGACCGUCUGGCGACUCACUGCUGCGAAAGCGUUUGCCAAGUAUGUUUUCAUUAAUCAAGAACGAAAGUUAGAGGUUCGAAGGCGAUCAGAUACCGCCCUAGUUCUAACCAUAAACGAUGCCAGCUAGCGAUCCGCAGACGUUUUUAUUGUAGGCUCUGCGGGAAGCUUCCGGGAAACCAAAGCGUUUGGGUUCCGGGGGAAGUAUGGUUGCAAAGCUGAAACUUAAAGAAAUUGACGGAAGGGCACCACCAGGCGUGGAACUUGCGGCUUAAUUUGACUCAACACUGGAAAUCUCACCAGGCCCGGACACCGGAAGGAUUGACUGAUUGAGAGCUCUUUCUCGAUUCGGUGGGUGGUGGUGCAUG
RNAcentral lists this ribosomal RNA (713 nucleotides) under Diacyclops galbinus. RNAcentral's name for it is "SSU rRNA". It matches the Rfam family "Eukaryotic small subunit ribosomal RNA", at positions 578 to 1286 of the family's 1831-position model. Lineage: Eukaryota; Metazoa; Arthropoda; Copepoda; Cyclopoida; Cyclopidae. The record is from RNAcentral.